Molecule: long non-coding RNA, 457 nt
Organism: Mizuhopecten yessoensis (Yesso scallop)
Lineage: Eukaryota; Metazoa; Mollusca; Bivalvia; Pectinida; Pectinidae
Exons: 4
Source: RefSeq, a predicted model, not a curated record
ACAAUCCCCUAGGUAAUCUGUCUCUGUGUCCCUUCCACACAAUCCCCUAGGUAAUCUGUCUCUGUGUCCCUUCCACACAAUCCCCUAGGUAAUCUGUCUGUGUGUCCCUUCCUAACCAACCCCCUAGGUAAUCUGUCUCUUUGUCCCGUCUCUACAAUCCCCUAGGCAAUCUGUCUCUGUGUCCCUUCCACACAAUCCCCUAGGUAAUCUGUCUCUGUGUCCCUUCCACACAAUCCCCUAGGUAAUCUGUCUCUGUGUCCCUUCCACCCAAUCCCCUAGGUAAUCUGUCUCUGUGUCCCUUCCCUACAAUCCCCUAGGUAAUCUGUCUCUGUGUCAUUUCCACACAAUCCCCUAGGUAAUCUGUUUCUGGGUCCCUUCCACACAAUCCCCUAGGUAAUCUGACUCUGUGUCCCUUCCCUAUAAUCCCCUAGGUAAUUUGUCUCUGUGUCCCUUCCAC